This 467-nucleotide ribosomal RNA is filed under the name uncultured bacterium. RNAcentral describes it as "partial 16S ribosomal RNA". It matches the Rfam family "Bacterial small subunit ribosomal RNA", at positions 28 to 506 of the family's 1533-position model. The record is from RNAcentral.
GACGAACGCUGGCGGCGUGCUUAACACAUGCAAGUCGAACGGAAAGGCCCUGCUUUUGUGGGGUGCUCGAGUGGCGAACGGGUGAGUAACACGUGAGUAACCUGCCCUUGACUUUGGGAUAACUUCAGGAAACUGGGGCUAAUACCGGAUAGGAGCUCCUGCUGCAUGGUGGGGGUUGGAAAGUUUCGGCGGUUGGGGAUGGACUCGCGGCUUAUCAGCUUGUUGGUGGGGUAGUGGCUUACCAAGGCUUUGACGGGUAGCCGGCCUGAGAGGGUGACCGGCCACAUUGGGACUGGGAUACGGCCCAGACUCCUACGGGGGGAAGCAGUGGGGAAUAUUGCACAAUGGGCGGAAGCCUGAUGCAGCAACGCCGCGUGCGGGAUGACGGCCUUCGGGUUGUAAACCGCUUUCGCCUGUGACGAAGCGUGAGUGACGGUAAUGGGUAAAGAAGCACCGGCUAACUACGU